UAGGGAAUAUUGGGCAAUGGCCGAGAGGCUGACCCAGCCAUGCCGCGUGCAGGAUGAAGGCUUUCUGAGUCGUAAACUGCUUUUGCCAGGGAAGAAUAAGACUCAUGCGUGGGUCGACGACGGUACCUGGUGAAUAAGCACCGGCUAACUCCGUGCCAGCAGCCGCGGUAAUACGGAGGGUGCAAGCGUUGUCCGGAUUUAUUGGGUUUAAAGGGUGCGUAGGCGGCCGUUUAAGUCCGGGGUGAAAGCCCGUUGCUCAACAACGGAACUGCCCUGGAAACUGGACGGCUUGAGUACAGACGAGGGUGGCGGAAUGGAUGGUGUAGCGGUGAAAUGCAUAGAUACCAUCCAGAACCCCGAUUGCGAAGGCAGCUGCCUAGACUGUAACUGACGCUGAGGCACGAAAGCGUGGGGAGCGAAC
This 421-nucleotide ribosomal RNA is filed under the name uncultured bacterium. Its description in RNAcentral is "bacterial SSU rRNA". It matches the Rfam family "Bacterial small subunit ribosomal RNA", at positions 355 to 773 of the family's 1533-position model. The record is from RNAcentral.